AAAGGAAUAGACGGGGACCCGCACAAGCGGUGGAACAUGUGGUUUAAUUCGAUGAUAAGCGAAGAACCUUACCAGGGCUUGACAUCUUGCGAAUCCUGAUGAAAGUUGGGAGUGCCGUAAGGAACGCAAUGACAGGUGUUGCACGGUCGCCGUCAGCUCGUGCUGUGAAGUGUCCCGUUAAGUCGGUAAACGAGCGCAACCCCUUUCGUAUGUUGUAUUUUUCAUGCGAUACUGCCGGCGUUAAGUCGGAGGAAGGUGGGGAUGACGUCAGAUCAGCGUGACUCUUACGCCCUGGGCUACACACGUGUUACAAUGGGUAGUAACAAUGGGUUGCCAAACCGAGAGGUGGAGCUAAUCCCAUCAAACCUACCCCCAGUUCGGAUUGAGGGCUGCAAUUCGCCCUCAUGAAGCCGGAAUCGCUAGUAAUCGUAGGUCAGCCACACUACGGUGAAUACGUUCUCGGGUCUUGUACACACCGCCCGU
This 483-nucleotide ribosomal RNA is filed under the name uncultured bacterium. Its description in RNAcentral is "bacterial SSU rRNA". It matches the Rfam family "Bacterial small subunit ribosomal RNA", at positions 903 to 1397 of the family's 1533-position model. The record is from RNAcentral.